RNAcentral lists this transfer RNA (67 nucleotides) under Erronea errones. RNAcentral describes it as "tRNA-Pro". Lineage: Eukaryota; Metazoa; Mollusca; Gastropoda; Littorinimorpha; Cypraeidae. The record is from RNAcentral.
CGAGGUUGUAGUUUAAUAAAAAUAUGAGCAUUGGAAGCUUAAGAUUAGGUAAUAACCUAUACCUUGA